Molecule: long non-coding RNA, 764 nt
Organism: Haplochromis burtoni (Burton's mouthbrooder)
Lineage: Eukaryota; Metazoa; Chordata; Actinopteri; Cichliformes; Cichlidae
Exons: 3
Source: RefSeq, a predicted model, not a curated record
AAUCCUUUGUGAAGCUUUUCGGGAGCGCGAGGGUGGAGCCCCGGCGGCCGACGGCCUUUGAAGUUUCCUUCUUAUUUGAGUUUAAAGGCGGGGACUUAAUCCAGGGGCGGCCUCGCAGUUUCCCACAGGGGUAAAAGGGGGCAAGAAAACUGACUUUUUUUUUUUCCUUUGGAGCCUCAGCUACCACCCCGGGCUCCAGCUUCUUCAAUAACAACUUGAUCGUUGUUUUUGCGGCUUUUUAGUCCAAAAGUGGUUUCAGCUGUCAGGCCGCAGAGGUCCCCCAGAGUCCAACCAUCAGCACAGUGGGGAGGCUGGGUGGAGACGUACCUCGAUGGAGGGGGGCUCCUUCCGUCUGCCUCGGAUCCAAGCUGGAGGAGAAGCAGGAGGAGGAGAGAGCAGAAAUAAGACGACUGCUCUCUUCAGGGGUCAUCACAGCGAAUCAUCUGCCUGCAUCUCACCCAAUCCGUAACUAUCCUCCACUGUCAACACAUCUUUGUGCAGGUCCUCCUUCACUAUAUGCAUUAAAUCUUCCAUCCAAUACGACAAUGUUGUUAUUAAGACUAAUACGCCAUCUAGUGGCAAUCUUAUGACACUACAAGGCUAACGUGCAUAUGAAAAACCUCUCAAUACAGAGAAAGAAGACAUGUCACAUGCAGGGGCACUGAACUAGCAUUAAUAACUAUUUAAAAGUGAAAGAAGCAGUAGUUAAACAGUAGUUAAAGCUGUAGAUGCUAAUGUUAGCACACAUGUUAGUUUACCUGUCC